GCCUGAGGUAGCUCAGUUGGGUGAGAACGAGACUCUUAAUCUCAGGGCUGUGGGUUUGAGCUCUGUGUUGGGUG
Molecule: non-coding RNA, 74 nt
Organism: Podarcis lilfordi (Lilford's wall lizard)
Lineage: Eukaryota; Metazoa; Chordata; Lepidosauria; Squamata; Lacertidae
Source: the annotation of a GenBank genome assembly